RNAcentral lists this ribosomal RNA (506 nucleotides) under uncultured bacterium. RNAcentral describes it as "partial 16S ribosomal RNA". It matches the Rfam family "Bacterial small subunit ribosomal RNA", at positions 30 to 523 of the family's 1533-position model. The record is from RNAcentral.
AUUGAACGCUGGCGGCAGGCCUAACACAUGCAAGUCAAACGGCAGCACAGAAGAGCUUGCUCUUUGGGUGGCGAGUGGCGGACGGGUGAGUAAUGUCUGGGAAACUGCCCGAUGGAGGGGGAUAACUACUGGAAACGGUAGCUAAUACCGCAUAACGUCGCGAGACCAAAGUGGGGGACCUUCGGGCCUCACACCAUCGGAUGUACCCAGAUGGGAUUAGCUAGUAGGUGGGGUAAUGGCUCACCUAGGCGACGAUCCCUAGCUGGUCUGAGAGGAUGACCAGCCACACUGGAACUGAGACACGGUCCAGACUCCUACGGGAGGCAGCAGUGGGGAAUAUUGCACAAUGGGCGCAAGCCUGAUGCAGCCAUGCCGCGUGUAUGAAGAAGGCCUUCGGGUUGUAAAGUACUUUCAGCGGGGAGGAAGGCGGUGAGGUUAAUAACCUUGCCGAUUGACGUUACCCGCAGAAGAAGCACCGGCUAACUCCGUGCCAGCAGCCGCGGUAA